GCGAACACCAGCUGCUCCCCGCGCCGGCACCCGCGCGCCGCUGCUCCGCCGGCGCUGCCUCCCUCGACCCGUGGCUCCCCCUCGCAACUUGGCGGGCCUCCUCCCUUUUGUCCGGCCCGGUCCGGCCGCCGCCGCCCCCCGCGCCUGGCGCCGAGCUCCCGGGUCCCCGGGCCGGCUGUCGGUGCCGGCAGGGCGCGGAGGGGGCGGGGGCCGCGGCUCGUCCCCCAGCGGAUGAGCUGCCGCGGACGGGGCGCGGGCGGACGAUGGAACUCCACAUCCUGGAGCACCGGCUGCAAGUUGCCAGCGUCGCCAAGGAGAGUAUCCCGCUGUUCACCUACGGGCCUGAUCAAACUUGCCUUCCUGUUCUCCAAGACCAGGUGCAAGUUCUUCAGUCUGACUGAGACACCAGAGGAUUACACUAUCAUUGUCGAUGAGGAAGGAUUCCUAGAGCUGCCCUCCUCGGAGCACCUGAGUGUGGCGGAUGCCACCUGGCUGGCCCUGAACGUGGUGUCCGGCGGUGGCAGCUUCUCCAGCUCCCAGCCUAUUGGCAUGACCAAGAUCGCCAAGUCAGUCAUCGCCCCACUGGCUGACCAGAACAUAUCCGUGUUCAUGCUGUCCACGUAUCAGACAGACUUCAUCCUGGUGCUCAAGCGGGACCUGCCCUUUGUCACCCACACGUUGUCAUCAGAGUUCACCAUCCUGUGGUCAGUGGCUAGACUGUAGCAGCCGAGAACCUCGGCAUCACCAGUGGCUUCGUGAAGCCCAAGCUGGUCCAGAUGCCGGUCAUCCACCCACUGUCCAGCCCGAGCAACAGGUUCUGUGUCACCAGCCUGGACCCCGACACGCUGCCUGCUGUUGCCACACUCCUCAUGGAUGUCAUGUCCUACUUCAAUGGAUUCAUUCAGCUUUUCCAGACCAGGCAUCACCGAGCGGAGAGAGGGGAAACACCCUGGCUUCUCUUUGGCACAUCAGCCCCUAGUUCUUGAGAGAGAAGGGCAGGGUGGUCUACUCACCAUGUCUGUAUCCUGCCGUUCUUCAUUUGACUCAUCCUGGAUUUCUAACUCUUCUUCCUCGUCCUCUUCCAUAAGGCUGAGUCUGAUGUAGGGGCAAAGAGACUGGCUUUUCAAACUGUUCUUUGAGGACCCCUGAGAGUUUCUCAGACACCCGGGGUGGGGGAAGUGGGGAGCAGUAAGUACAGCAUAGUAGUUUCCCGAUUGUGCUGACAGGAAGUGCUCUGUGGCUAAAACAAGUCCAAAAAGCACCCACAGAGAGGCAAUGGGUGAGACAGGAAUCCCCUCACAGUGGG
This 1306-nucleotide long non-coding RNA is filed under the name Homo sapiens (human). Lineage: Eukaryota; Metazoa; Chordata; Mammalia; Primates; Hominidae. The record is from RNAcentral.